RNAcentral lists this ribosomal RNA (254 nucleotides) under uncultured bacterium. Its description in RNAcentral is "partial 16S ribosomal RNA". The stretch from base 36 to 254 matches the Rfam family "Bacterial small subunit ribosomal RNA", at positions 559 to 776 of the family's 1533-position model. The record is from RNAcentral.
UCCCUCUUUUUCUCUCUUUUUCCUUCCUCCCUUUUCUUCAAUAUCUCUCAUUCUUUCGUUCAAGUCGCGUGUGAAAGCCCCCGGCUCAACUGGGGAGGGUCACGCGAUACUGGUCGACUCGAAGGCAGGAGAGGGUAGUGGAAUUCCCGGUGUAGUGGUGAAAUGCGUAGAUAUCGGGAGGAACACCAGUGGCGAAGGCGACUACCUGGCCUGUUUCUUGACGCUGAGGCGCGAAAGCUAGGGGAGCAAACGGG